AUUGAACGCUGGCGGCAUGCUUUACACAUGCAAGUCGAACGGCAGCACGGGGGCAACCCUGGUGGCGAGUGGCGAACGGGUGAGUAAUACAUCGGAACAUGCCCAGUAGUGGGGGACAACGCGUCGAAAGAUGUGCUAAUACCGCAUACGCACUGAGGUGGAAAGCGGGGGAUCGUAAGACCUCGCGCUAUUGGAGUGGCCGAUGUCCGAUUAGCUAGUUGGUGGGGUGAUGGCCCACCAAGGCGACGAUCGGUAGCUGGUCUGAGAGGAUGAUCAGCCACACUGGACUGAGACACGGCCCAGACUCCUACGGGAGGCAGCAGUGGGGAAUUUUGGACAAUGGGCGCAAGCCUGAUCCAGCCAUGCCGCGUGAGUGAAGAAGGCCUUCGGGUUGUAAAGCUCUUUCGGCCGGAACGAAAUCGUCAGGGCUAAUACCACUGAUGGAUGACGGUACCGGAAGAAGAAGCACCGGCUAACUACGUGCCAGCAGCCGCGGUAAUACGUAGGGUACAGGCGUUAAUCGGAAUUACUGGGCGUAAAGCGUGCGCAGGCGGCUUCCUAAGUCAGAUGUGAAAUCCCCGGGCUUAACCUGGGAACUGCGUUUGAAACUGGGAGGCUAGAGUGCGGCAGAGGGGGGUGGAAUUCCACGUGUAGCAGUGAAAUGCGUAGAUAUGUGGAGGAACACGGAUGGCGAAGGCAGCCCCCUGGGCCAGCACUGACGCUCAUGCACGAAAGCGUGGGGGAGCAAACAGGAUUAGAUACCCUGGUAGUCCACGCCCUAAACUAUGUCGACUAGUUGUUGGGGGAGUC
RNAcentral lists this ribosomal RNA (810 nucleotides) under uncultured bacterium. RNAcentral's name for it is "bacterial SSU rRNA". It matches the Rfam family "Bacterial small subunit ribosomal RNA", at positions 28 to 833 of the family's 1533-position model. The record is from RNAcentral.